RNAcentral lists this unclassified non-coding RNA (279 nucleotides) under plant metagenome. RNAcentral describes it as "partial contains small subunit ribosomal RNA, internal transcribed spacer 1, and 5.8S ribosomal RNA". The record is from RNAcentral.
UUUCCGUAGGUGAACCUGCGGAAGGAUCAUUAUCGAGUUACGGUCUCUGGCCCGCCCUCCAACCCUGUGUCUCCUCUACCAUGUUGCUUUGGCGCGCCCGCGUUCGUCGCCGCCGAGGGGUUCACCCCCCUGGCCCACUCCCCGCCGCUACCCCCCUCUUAAACACUCGAUCAACCGUGACUUUCUGACUAAAAAAACAAUCAAGCACCAAACUUUCAACAACGGAUCUCUCGGUUCCCGCACGCAUCACAACCGCCUCCGCCCCGAAUACACCACCGC